Molecule: ribosomal RNA, 404 nt
Filed under: Pithemera sp. Cagayan1
Lineage: Eukaryota; Metazoa; Annelida; Clitellata; Crassiclitellata; Megascolecidae
Description: partial 12S rRNA
Source: RNAcentral
UAGAUACCCGUCUAUUCAUGACAUAUUUAAUAGCCAAAUAUUACGAACAACAGUUUAAAAUUCAAAGAUUUUGGCGGUGUCUUAUAAACCCAGGGGAACCUGUCUCAUAACUCGAUAAUCCACGCACACACAACCUUCUCUUGAUUCCAGCCUGUGUACUGCCGUUGUAAGUACACCUUUAAAAGAACAAGUGUACCACUAUGAUCUCAUAUACAUCAGGUCAAAGUGCAGCUAAUAAGAAGGCGAUGAUGGGUUACAACCCUAAAAAAGACUAUCAAUUAAGAAAAUAAAAAUCUUAUGAAAGUGGACUUGACCGUAAUUGACAACUACCAUAAAAAAAUGAACCAUACUCUAAGACAUGUACACAUCGCCCGUCACUCUAUCCUAAAGGAUAGAUAAGUCGU